GGAGAGAUGGCUGAGUGGUCGAAAGCACCGGUCUUGAAAACCGGCGAACGUUAACGCGUUCCUAGGGUUCAAAUCCCUAUCUCUCCGCCA
Molecule: transfer RNA, 90 nt
Filed under: BD1-7 clade bacterium
Lineage: Bacteria; Pseudomonadati; Pseudomonadota; Gammaproteobacteria; Cellvibrionales; Spongiibacteraceae
Description: tRNA-Ser(tga)
Rfam family: tRNA
About the family: Transfer RNA (tRNA) molecules are approximately 80 nucleotides in length. Their secondary structure includes four short double-helical elements and three loops (D, anti-codon, and T loops). Further hydrogen bonds mediate the characteristic L-shaped molecular structure. tRNAs have two regions of fundamental functional importance: the anti-codon, which is responsible for specific mRNA codon recognition, and the 3' end, to which the tRNAs corresponding amino acid is attached (by aminoacyl-tRNA synthetases). tRNAs cope with the degeneracy of the genetic code in two manners: having more than one tRNA (with a specific anti-codon) for a particular amino acid; and 'wobble' base-pairing, i.e. permitting non-standard base-pairing at the 3rd anti-codon position.
Source: RNAcentral